GCACUGCUGUGGAGUCCCACAAUAGGACGAAACGGCCGUCCGGUGC
This 46-nucleotide non-coding RNA is filed under the name Schistosoma mattheei. The record is from RNAcentral. Lineage: Eukaryota; Metazoa; Platyhelminthes; Trematoda; Strigeidida; Schistosomatidae.